RNAcentral lists this transfer RNA (73 nucleotides) under Marmota monax (woodchuck). Its description in RNAcentral is "tRNA.Ala". Lineage: Eukaryota; Metazoa; Chordata; Mammalia; Rodentia; Sciuridae. The record is from RNAcentral.
CUGGGGUUGUGGCUCAGUGGCAGAGCGCUUUCCUAGCAUGCAUGAGGCACUGAGUUCAAUCCAGUACCACAUA